This 460-nucleotide ribosomal RNA is filed under the name uncultured bacterium. RNAcentral describes it as "SSU rRNA". It matches the Rfam family "Bacterial small subunit ribosomal RNA", at positions 26 to 518 of the family's 1533-position model. The record is from RNAcentral.
AGAACGAACGCUGGCGGCAUGCCUAACACAUGCAAGUCGAACGCUCACCGGGCUUCGGUUCGGUGGGAGUGGCGCACGGGUGAGUAGCGCGUGGGAACCUGCCCUGUUGUGGGGGAUAACCGAGGGAAACUUCGGCUAAUACCGCAUGCGCCCGGGGAAACCCGGGGAAAGAUUUAUCGCAGCAGGAGGGGCCCGCGUCGGAUUAGGUAGUUGGUAGGGUAACGGCCUACCAAGCCUUUGAUCCGUAGCUGGUCUGAGAGGAUGAUCAGCCACACUGGGACUGAGACACGGCCCAGACUCCUACGGGAGGCAGCAGUGGGGAUAUUGGACAAUGGGCGCAAGCCUGAUCCAGCAAUGCCGCGUGAGUGAUGAAGGCCUUAGGGUUGUAAAGCUCUUUCGCCCGCGACGAUGAUGACGGUAGCGGGAGAAGAGCCCCGGCUAACUUCGUGCCAGCAGCCGC